CAACAAUCUGGCAGAGACUGAACAUCAGCUGGUCCUUAAAUACUGUCACUGAUGGUCUGAUGAGAAUCAGGUGUGUAGGCUGAAACCAGGGGGCUCAAUCAGCAGGUGGAAUCUAAGGCAGGACUUGCUCAUCCUCAACGAAGGCCAAAACAUUAGUGAAGAAAACAGAGGAAUCCUAACCAUCCCAGGACAAUCCCAGGAACCAGUUUGAGGUCAUCUGAACUUUGUAACAUGUAAUCAUCAUAUGACCAACUCUGAAAACUGAAAACAUCUUAAAGAUCUAACCUUCUCAUGUCCCCAUUUUAUUGUUUUUUCCAUUAAUUUCCAGGACGUCUAGGAAACGUCUGGCUGCAGCUGGAGUCACAACACGGAGCAGCCCGUGGCCUCUCUGGUCUGCAGGAUCCUGAUCAGGGCCGUGACUGUUUUCAGACCUGCUGAGACCUUAUCCACAGGACUUCUGACGAUGAAACUGGGUGAUUUGGGAUUUCCUGGUAAAGCAACGUAGGAUGCAGCCACCUCAGUGGGCUCUGAGUCUG
Molecule: long non-coding RNA, 536 nt
Organism: Oreochromis aureus
Lineage: Eukaryota; Metazoa; Chordata; Actinopteri; Cichliformes; Cichlidae
Source: Ensembl